AAGUCGUAACAAGGUUUACCGUAGGUGAACCUGCGGAAGGAUCAUUAUUGAAUGAACUUGGCUUGGUUGCUGCUGGUCUUUUCGAAGACAUGUGCACGCCAUGUCAUCUUUAUAUCUCCACCUGUGCACCUUUUGUAGACCUGGAUUCAAUUUUCCGAGGUAACUCGGUCGUGGAGAUCUGACUGACGUCUUCUUGUUCAGCUUCGAGCUUCAUGUUACACAUUACCAGAACGAUAACAGAAUGUCAUUAUUAGGCUUAAUUGUCUUAUAAACUAUAUACAA
This 282-nucleotide unclassified non-coding RNA is filed under the name plant metagenome. Its description in RNAcentral is "partial contains small subunit ribosomal RNA and internal transcribed spacer 1". The stretch from base 1 to 47 matches the Rfam family "Eukaryotic small subunit ribosomal RNA", at positions 1786 to 1831 of the family's 1831-position model. The record is from RNAcentral.